Momordica charantia (bitter melon) is the source of this 1137-nucleotide long non-coding RNA. RefSeq lists it as uncharacterized. The record is from RefSeq and is a predicted model, not a curated record. Lineage: Eukaryota; Viridiplantae; Streptophyta; Magnoliopsida; Cucurbitales; Cucurbitaceae.
CCUUUUAAAAGUUAUGUAGUUCAUUAUUUUUAAUUAGCUUCAAAAAUUUCAUGAUUUUUCUUAUCAAUGUCGUAAAAAGCUUACGGAAUUUUAAUCUUUUAAUUUUCACAGAAUCGUCGAAGACGACCUUUGUGUGAGUCUCUGCAGUCCUUUUUCUUGUUCUUGUUCCUUUCCCCACUUUCAAAUAACCACUAUUUAUUUUAUUAUAAUUAUGGGUCAGUUAACCCAAAUUCUUGGUUAGUUGCACAAUCUAAAGAAUCACCAACAGAACAUAGUGGAUUCUCCUUUCAAAGCUUUGAAGUUUAUCUGUCGUUAAUGAAAGAGAUGAUUGCGGUGAUAACCAGAUCAACUUCUUAGAAGUAAUGGAACUGGAAGUCUGGAUUCACGACUACCAACUCCGCAACUUUCACCAUCAAAGCAAUCUUUAACAUUCGACAACUCUGCCGGACUUCAAAAUGACCAAGCAGUGGCUGUCAUAAUGAAGCCGAGUACACUACCUAUUAUAAGUGCAGAUUUCUGGGUUUUCAAGACACUUUGUAUUCAAAGGGAAAAUAAUCCUAAUUUUUCAAGGAGUGUGACAUCUACGGGAGCGUGUAUUUCAUAUUUAGACACGGACUUGUUGUGUUCCAAAACUGUAACAUCUACGCUCGCAUACUGAGCAAAACUAUUACAGUCACCGCACAAUCAAAAGAAUAUCCAACGUCCCCCAACUUCUCCUUUCAAAAUGUUCAGUCACAGUUUCGUCAGACACACAGCCAAUAGGGCCUAGUGUUUUUGGGUCGGCCGUGGAGGCAAUAUUCCACUAUUGUGUUCAUGGAAUCAUUCCUUGGUGACGUGGUGGCAUCGGCAGGUGGUCCGAGUGAGGUCCCAGGGUCCCAAUAUACCAUCUCUUUUAUGCAGUCCAAAAGAGUAAGUUGUACAGGAUUUCAAAUAAUUGAUAAAAAAAUUAGCUGAAACAUUUAAUGUACAAAAUUUUAUUAACGGAUCUGAUUGGUUGGCAGAAACCGGCAUACCCUUUAGAUCUAACAACUACACCAGUUUCUGACAACCAAUUAGAUCCAUUAAUGAAACUUUGUAUGGUAAAAUGUUUGCGUGUUCAUCAAUUACAUGAAAUCCCAUCCAAUUUACUCUUUUGGA